Molecule: ribosomal RNA, 468 nt
Filed under: uncultured bacterium
Lineage: Bacteria
Description: partial 16S ribosomal RNA
Rfam family: Bacterial small subunit ribosomal RNA
Source: RNAcentral
GACGAACGCUGGCGGCGUGCUUAACACAUGCAAGUCGAACGGAAAGGCCCUGCUUUUGUGGGGUGCUCGAGUGGCGAACGGGUGAGUAACACGUGAGUAACCUGCCCUUGACUUUGGGAUAACUUCAGGAAACUGGGGCUAAUACCGGAUAGGAGCUCCUGCUGCAUGGUGGGGGUGGGAAAGUUUCGGCGGUUGGGGAUGGACUCGCGGCUUAUCAGCUUGUUGGUGGGGUAGUGGCUUACCAAGGCUUUGACGGGUAGCCGGCCUGAGAGGGUGACCGGCCACAUUGGGCCUGGGAUACGGCCCAGACUCCUACGGGAGGCAGCAGUGGGGAAUAUUGCACAAUGGGCGGAAGCCUGAUGCAGCAACGCCGCGUGCGGGAUGACGGCCUUCGGGUUGUAAACCGCUUUCGCCUGUGACGAAGCGUGAGUGACGGUAAUGGGUAAAGAAGCACCGGCUAACUACGUG